Molecule: ribosomal RNA, 624 nt
Filed under: Oxalobacteraceae bacterium Ri2Pw_6063
Lineage: Bacteria; Pseudomonadati; Pseudomonadota; Betaproteobacteria; Burkholderiales; Oxalobacteraceae
Description: bacterial SSU rRNA
Rfam family: Bacterial small subunit ribosomal RNA
Source: RNAcentral
GCAAUGCCGCGUGAGUGAAGAAGGCCUAUCGGGUUGUAAAGCUCUUUUGUCAGGGAAGAAAAGGCUCGCGGCUAAUAUCUGCGGCUCAUGACGGUACCUGAAGAAUAAGCACCGGCUAACUACGUGCCAGCAGCCGCGGUAAUACGUAGGGUGCAAGCGUUAAUCGGAAUUACUGGGCGUAAAGCGUGCGCAGGCGGUUUUGUAAGACUGUCGUGAAAUCCCCGGGCUCAACCUGGGAAUGGCGAUGGUGACUGCAAGGCUAGAGUUUGGCAGAGGGGGGUAGAAUUCCACGUGUAGCAGUGAAAUGCGUAGAUAUGUGGAGGAACACCGAUGGCGAAGGCAGCCCCCUGGGUCAAAACUGACGCUCAUGCACGAAAGCGUGGGGAGCAAACAGGAUUAGAUACCCUGGUAGUCCACGCCCUAAACGAUGUCUACUAGUUGUCGGGUCUUAAUUGACUUGGUAACGCAGCUAACGCGUGAAGUAGACCGCCUGGGGAGUACGGUCGCAAGAUUAAAACUCAAAGGAAUUGACGGGGACCCGCACAAGCGGUGGAUGAUGUGGAUUAAUUCGAUGCAACGCGAAAAACCUUACCUACCCUUGACAUGGAUGGAACCUCUGAGAGA